Molecule: ribosomal RNA, 636 nt
Filed under: Triticum aestivum (bread wheat)
Lineage: Eukaryota; Viridiplantae; Streptophyta; Magnoliopsida; Poales; Poaceae
Description: partial small subunit ribosomal RNA
Source: RNAcentral
GAGAAUCCCAAUGAUAUUUCUAUUUCGGAUGAUGAAACACAAUUUGGUGAUGAGCAUGAACCUAGUGAUAAUAUUAAUGAUGAUGUUUAUGAUGAUGCUCAACCUAGCAAUGACAAUGAUGUAGAAAUUGAACCUGCUGUUGAUCUUGAUAACCCACAAUCGAAGAAUCAACGUUAUGAUAAGAGAGACUUCGUUGCUAGGAAGCACGGUAAAGAAAGAGAACCAUGGGUUCAGAAACCCAUGCCUUUUCCUCCUAAACCAUCCAAGAAAAAGGAUGAUGAGGAUUUUGAGCGCUUUGCUGAAAUGAUUAGACCUAUCUUUUUGCGUAUGCGUUUGACUGAUAUGCUUAAAAUGAAUCCUUAUGCUAAGUACAUGAAAGAUAUUGUUACAAAUAAGAGAAAGAUACCGAAAGCUGAUAUUUCCACCAUGCUUGCCAGUUAUACUUUUAAUGGUGGAAUACCUAAGAAACUAGGAGAUCAUGGAGUACCAACUAUACCAUGCUCCAUUAAAAGAAACUAUGUCAAAACUGCUUUAUGUGAUCUUGGAGCCGGUGUUAGUGUUAUGACUCUCUCUUUAUAUCGUAGACUUGAUUUGAAUAAGUUGACACCUGAAAUAUCUCUGCAAAUGGCCGAUAAA